GAUGAAGAUCGCAGCGAAAUGCGAUAAGUAAUGUGAAUUGCAGAAUUCAGUGAAUCAUCGAAUCUUUGAACGCACAUUGCGCCCGUUAGCAUUCUAGCGGGCAUGCCUGUCCGAGCGUCAUUUCAACCCUCAGGGUCCCCGUUCCGGCGGGGAACCUGGUGUUGGGGAUCGGCCCGCCCCGUGCGGCGCCGUCCCCCAAAUUCAGUGGCGGUCUCGCUGCAGCCUCCCCUGCGUAGUAGUUACAACCUCGCAUCGGAGCUCAGCGCGGCCACGCCGUAAAACCCCCGACUUUCUGAACGUUGACCUCGGAUCAGGUAGGAAUACCCGCUGAACUUAAGCAUAUCAAUAAGCGGAGGA
This 357-nucleotide unclassified non-coding RNA is filed under the name soil metagenome. RNAcentral's name for it is "partial contains 5.8S ribosomal RNA, internal transcribed spacer 2, and large subunit ribosomal RNA". The stretch from base 1 to 120 matches the Rfam family "5.8S ribosomal RNA", at positions 35 to 154 of the family's 154-position model. The record is from RNAcentral.